GAUGAACGCUGGCGGCGUGACUAAUACAUGCAAGUCGAGCGAAGCGGGGACGGGUGAGUAACACGUGGAUAACCUCCUAUAAGACUGGGAUAAAUUCGGGAAACCGGAGCUAAAUCGGAUACUUAUAGAUGAAUCCACGCUGCAUUAGCUAGAUGGUAAGGUAACGGCUUACCAAGGCAACGAUGCAUAUCAGACCUGAGAGGGGGAUCGGCCAAACUGGAACUGAGAACCGGUCCAGAUUCCUACUGGAGGCAGCAGGAGGGAAUGUUCCGCAAUGGGCGAAAGCCUGACGGAGCAACGCCGCGUGAGUGAUGAAGGUCGUCGGAUCGAAAAACUCUGUUAUUAGGGAAGCGGUACCUAAUCAGAAAGCCACGGCUAACUACGUGCCAGCAGCCGCGGAAUAC
RNAcentral lists this ribosomal RNA (404 nucleotides) under uncultured bacterium. RNAcentral's name for it is "partial 16S ribosomal RNA". It matches the Rfam family "Bacterial small subunit ribosomal RNA", at positions 28 to 526 of the family's 1533-position model. The record is from RNAcentral.